Molecule: ribosomal RNA, 668 nt
Filed under: uncultured fungus
Lineage: Eukaryota; Fungi
Description: eukaryotic LSU rRNA
Rfam family: 5.8S ribosomal RNA (bases 148-301)
Source: RNAcentral
GCAAUCCUUUUCCAAAACACCUGUGAACCUAGUGAGAAUAAGGGGGAAAGGGGAGUUUCUGUCUCUUCUUAUCUCUUUGUCUCAUGAUUCAUAAACGCUACUUGUGAUGUUGAAUGUGUUCGUGCCGUCAAGGCUUUAACAUAAUACAACUUUUGACAACGGAUCUCUUGGCUCUCGCAUCGAUGAAGAACGCAGCGAAAUGCGAUAAGUAAUGUGAAUUGCAGAAUUCAGUGAAUCAUCGAAUCUUUGAACGCACCUUGCGCUCCCUGGUAUUCCGGGGAGCACGCCUGUUCGAGUGUCUUGAAACUAUCAAGCCAGGAUGGUUUGUACCUUCCUGGCUUGGUUUAUUGGGCUUUGCCGUGUCCUUCAUUGGAACGGCUGGCCUUAAAAGUAUUAGCCGACUCCAUGUGGUUAUUGGUAUUCUACUUGGCGUGAUAAUAAUGUGACCGCUGAGAAAGUAUGUAUCCCUUUGGGGAUGGCCAAUUCUCAUGUGGGGGUUGCUUCUAAUCUUGGAGCUUCCUGUUCCACUUUUCAACUUUGGCCUCGAAUCAGGUGGGACUACCCGCUGAACUUAAGCAUAUCAAUAAGCGGAGGAAAAGAAACUAACAAGGAUUCCCCUAGUAACGGCGAGUGAAGCGGGAAAAGCUCAAAUUUAAAAUCUGGCAGCC